This 466-nucleotide ribosomal RNA is filed under the name uncultured bacterium. RNAcentral describes it as "partial 16S ribosomal RNA". It matches the Rfam family "Bacterial small subunit ribosomal RNA", at positions 28 to 507 of the family's 1533-position model. The record is from RNAcentral.
GAUGAACGCUGGCGGCGUGCUUAACACAUGCAAGUCGAACGGAAAGGCCCAAGCUUGCUUGGGUGCUCGAGUGGCGAACGGGUGAGUAACACGUGGGUGAUCUGCCCUGCACUUCGGGAUAAGCCUGGGAAACUGGGUCUAAUACCGGAUAGGACCACAUUUUGGAUGGUGUGGUGGAAAGUUUUUCGGUGUGGGAUGAGCUCGCGGCCUAUCAGCUUGUUGGUGGGGUAAUGGCCUACCAAGGCGUCGACGGGUAGCCGGCCUGAGAGGGUGUACGGCCACAUUGGGACUGAGAUACGGCCCAGACUCCUACGGGAGGCAGCAGUGGGGAAUAUUGCACAAUGGGCGCAAGCCUGAUGCAGCGACGCCGCGUGGGGGAUGACGGCCUUCGGGUUGUAAACUCCUUUCGCUAGGGACGAAGCGUUAUGUGACGGUACCUGGAGAAGAAGCACCGGCUAACUACGUG